This 578-nucleotide long non-coding RNA is filed under the name Homo sapiens (human). RNAcentral describes it as "HSALNT0154139". Lineage: Eukaryota; Metazoa; Chordata; Mammalia; Primates; Hominidae. The record is from RNAcentral.
CGGCGGUCGGCCGAGCCAGGCUGGCGCCCCCGCCCCCCGCCCCGCUCCUCGGUCCGCCGCCCGCCGGGCGCCUUCCCCGCUCCACUUACCUUUGGUGCCCGGCCCUCUGGCCGCUCUCCUCCCGCCCUCGCGCCCCUUCGGCCCGUCCCGUCCAGCCCGGGCUGCCCGGCUCUCGCAGGCCCCCCCGCGCCGACCGCGUUCCUAUGGACAGACGCACAGACACCUGCAGAGACACAGUCGCACUCUGUCACCCACGCUGGAAUACAGUGGUGCAACCAUAGCUUACUGCCUCUUCAAACUCCUGGGCCCAAAGGAUCACAUCUCAACCUCCCAAGUAGCUGGGACUACAGGCACGUGCCAUCACACUUAGCUAAUUUUUCUUAUUUUUUGUAGCGAUGGGGUCUUGCGGUGUUGCCCAGGCUGGUCUUGAACUCCUGGACUCAAAUGAUCUUCCUGCCUUGGCCUCCCAAAGUGCUAGGAUUAUAGGUGUGAACCACCACGUCCAGCCAUAACUUUAAAAAAGUUUAAGAAGACGUUAAAACGUUGAAGCAAUAUUUAAAAACAUUAAAAAUCUUACC